AGUGGAUGGGGAGCAACCUAGUUGUGCGUGUGUAAAGGUAGUGCCAAGAAAAGCGGUGAUCAUGAUGAAAAUCAAUUCCCGGUACCCGAAACCGACACAGGUGGGCAAGUAGAGAAUACUAAGGGGCGCGAGGUAACUCUCUCCAAGGAACUCGGCAAAAUGACCCCGUAACUUAGGGAGAAGGGGUGCCACCGAGAGGUGGUCGCAGUGAAGAGGCCCAGGCGACUGUUUAGCAAAAACAUAGGUCUCUGCAAACUCGAAAGAGGAGGUAUAGGGGCUGACGCCUGCCCAGUGCCGGAAGGUUAAAGAAGUUGGUCAGUCUUAGGAUAAAGCUAGCGACUGAAGCCCCGGUGAACGGCGGCCGUAACUAUAACGGUCCUAAGGUAGCGAAAUUCCUUGUCGGGUAAGUUCCGACCCGCACGAAAGGCGUAACGAUCUGGGCGCUGUCUCGGAGAGAGGCUCGGCGAAAUAGGAUUGUCUGUGAAGAUACGGACUACCUGCAUUUGGACAGAAAGACCCUAUGAAGCUUUACUAUAGCUUGGAAUUGUGUUCGGGCUUCCUGUGCGCAGGAUAGGUGGGAGGCGUAGAAGGUAUUCUUGUGGGGAUACUGGAGCCAACGGUGAGAUACCACUCUCAGGAGGCUAGAAUUCUAACUUAAUUAAGGACAGUUUCAGGUGGGUAGUUUGACUGGGGCGGUCGCCUCCAAAAAGGUAACGGAGGCGUACAAAGGUUCCCUCAGACUGGUUGGAAAUCAGUCGAAGAGUGCAAAGGCAGAAGGGAGCUUGACUGCGAGAAGUACAGUUCGAGCAGGGUGGAAACACGGUCUUAGUGAUCCGACGGUGCUGUGUGGAAGGGCCGUCGCUCAACGGAUAAAAGUUACUCUAGGAUAACAGGCUGAUCUCCCCCAAGAGUUCACAUCGACGGGGAGGUUUGGCACCUCGAUGUCGGCUCAUCGCAACCUGGGGCGGAAGUACGUCCCAAGGGUUGGGCUGUUCGCCCAUUAAAGCGGUACGUGAGCUGGGUUCAGAACGUCGUGAGACAGUUCGGUCCAUAUCCGAUGUAGGCGUGAGAAUAUUGAGAGGAGCCUUCCUUAGUACGAGAGGACCGGGAAGGACGCACCGCUGGUGUACCUGUUAUGAUGCCAAUUGUAAACGCAGGGUAGCCAAGUGCGGAGAGGAUAACCGCUGAAAGCAUCUAAGUGGGAAGCCCACCUCAAGAUGAGUAUUCUGGUGUAAGGUCACGGGAAGACGACCCGUAAAUAGGCACGAGGUGGAAGUGCAGAGAUGUAUGAAGCCGAAGUGUACUAAUAGACCGUCGGCUUGACC
RNAcentral lists this ribosomal RNA (1325 nucleotides) under metagenome. RNAcentral describes it as "bacterial LSU rRNA". It matches the Rfam family "Bacterial large subunit ribosomal RNA", at positions 1561 to 2925 of the family's 2925-position model. The record is from RNAcentral.